This is a long non-coding RNA of Eurytemora carolleeae, 380 nucleotides long. RefSeq lists it as uncharacterized. The transcript has 3 exons. The record is from RefSeq and is a predicted model, not a curated record. Lineage: Eukaryota; Metazoa; Arthropoda; Copepoda; Calanoida; Temoridae.
AACCGUUAAAUUUCUUUUGUUUCAGCAUAAAAAGUGAACAAAGAUCAUAUGGAGAUGACACUUAAAGAGUAACAAAGUGAAAUAUCAAGAAGUGAAAAAUGGAAAAGUGAGAAGAAACCCUAAAGAAAAGUGAAUAAAACAUGAAUUAAGAAAAGUGGUGAACCGUGACAUAAAAAGUAUUAAGUGAGACUCAGAAACAUAAUAAUGGAUGAAUUAAACUCUCCCCUGGAUAUAAAGCUCAAGGAUUUGGAGGGAUUGGAACUAGAGGACUUUGAAGAGAUUUCUGUAGAAGGAGAGGAAGCGGGUAGGCUUGCCAUGAGAACAAUAACAUUAGCUAUCCUUCUUUUAGGAUCUAUUCUUCUAGUCACUGUAGUCUUUAG